Molecule: ribosomal RNA, 784 nt
Filed under: Hemileccinum rubropunctum
Lineage: Eukaryota; Fungi; Basidiomycota; Agaricomycetes; Boletales; Boletaceae
Description: eukaryotic LSU rRNA
Rfam family: 5.8S ribosomal RNA (bases 247-401)
Source: RNAcentral
UCAUUAUCGAAUUUUGAUUUCGAGGAGAAAGGGCAUCGAUUGUCGCUGGCUGGCUUUUCAGCAUGUGCACAUCUAUGCUUUCUCACCUCGUCUCAUAUCCCACACACCUGUGCACCUAUUGUAGGUCCUCGAAAGAGGAUCUAUGUUUUUUCUACAUCACACAUGUCGUAUGUCUAGAAUGUAUUUGAUAACUUGUCGAUCAGGCUUGAUUGUCCUGGUCCCCAAGGUUCAAUAAAACCACUAUACAACUUUCAGCAAUGGAUCUCUUGGCUCUCGCAUCGAUGAAGAACGCAGCGAAUUGCGAUAAGUAAUGUGAAUUGCAGAUUUCCAGUGAAUCAUCGAAUCUUUGAACGCACCUUGCGCUCCUUGGUAUUCCGAGGAGCAUGCCUGUUUGAGUGUCAUUGAAUUUCUCAACCAUGCCUUUUGUGCAUGGCUUGGACUUGGGGGUUUGCUGGCAGCCAUCAGCUCUCCUGAAAUGCAUUAGCAAAGGAUGUGCUAGUCUCUGGACGUGCACGGCCUUCGACGUGAUAAUGAUCGUCGUGGCUGGAGCGUCCUCUUUCAGGGGACCAUGCAUAUGAAUUUGCUUCUAAUACAGCAGCUAGUUACUAGUCGGUCAUGAGCCUGGCGAACACAGCUGAGAACUUUUCGAACCGUUGACCUCAAAUCAGGUAGGACUACCCGCUGAACUUAAGCAUAUCAAUAAGCGGAGGAAAAGAAACUAACAAGGAUUCCCCUAGUAACUGCGAGUGAAGCGGGAUGAGCUCAAAUUUUGAAUCUGGCGGUC